RNAcentral lists this long non-coding RNA (367 nucleotides) under Ananas comosus (pineapple). RNAcentral describes it as "long non-coding RNA (ACOM_LNC038830)". The record is from RNAcentral. Lineage: Eukaryota; Viridiplantae; Streptophyta; Magnoliopsida; Poales; Bromeliaceae.
CUAGGUACAUAUUAGCAAUGUGAGAUCAUGCUAGAGAGCAUGCGUAUUAACCUAUUAUUGAUAGGGUAAGCUAAUGUCAUAAAGAGGCAUUGGGCUUGGAAUUGGUAUAUUAAGCUAAUGUCAUAAAGCGACAUUGAGCUUGGGACAUGUAUGAACCUAGUAAAUAAUGCCAUAAAGAGGCAUGAAAAUUGGAACAUGCUUGGAUAUAGUAAUGUUCUAGUGCCCUAAAGAGGCACUAGACAUAGUGAAUGUUGGAACUUCACUUGGGGAUAUUAAACUAGACCUAUGAGUUGCUAGCGAUCAUUUCCAUGGUUGAGCCAUGAUGGCCGGAUCGUUGUGACAAUGACUAUGCUUGCUCGCUCGUGCG